CCUACGGGUGGCAGCAGUCGAGAAUCAUUCACAAUGGGGGCAACCCUGAUGGUGUGACGCCGCGUGGGGGAUUGAAGCUCUUCGGAUUGUAAACCCCUGUCAUGUGGGAGCACAUUAAAAAGAUAGUACCACAUGAGCAAGGGCCGGCUAACUCUGUGCAAGCACCCGCGGUCAUACAGAGGUCUCAAGCGUUGUUCGGACUCACUGGGCGUAAAGGGUGCGUAGGCUGGUUAGUAAGUCGUGUGUGAAAGGCGCGGGCUCAACCCCCGGACGGCACAUGAUACUGCGGGACUGGAGUAAUGGAGAGGGAGCCGGAAUUCUUGGUGUAGCAGUGAAAUGCGUAGAUAUCGGGAGGAACACUCGUGGCGAAGGCGGGUUCCUGGACAUUAACUGACGCUGAGGCGCGAAGGCGAGGGGAGCGAAAGGGAUUAGAUACCCGAGUAGUC
This 446-nucleotide ribosomal RNA is filed under the name uncultured bacterium. Its description in RNAcentral is "partial 16S ribosomal RNA". It matches the Rfam family "Bacterial small subunit ribosomal RNA", at positions 338 to 795 of the family's 1533-position model. The record is from RNAcentral.